Molecule: transfer RNA, 73 nt
Filed under: Fasciola hepatica (liver fluke)
Lineage: Eukaryota; Metazoa; Platyhelminthes; Trematoda; Plagiorchiida; Fasciolidae
Rfam family: tRNA
About the family: Transfer RNA (tRNA) molecules are approximately 80 nucleotides in length. Their secondary structure includes four short double-helical elements and three loops (D, anti-codon, and T loops). Further hydrogen bonds mediate the characteristic L-shaped molecular structure. tRNAs have two regions of fundamental functional importance: the anti-codon, which is responsible for specific mRNA codon recognition, and the 3' end, to which the tRNAs corresponding amino acid is attached (by aminoacyl-tRNA synthetases). tRNAs cope with the degeneracy of the genetic code in two manners: having more than one tRNA (with a specific anti-codon) for a particular amino acid; and 'wobble' base-pairing, i.e. permitting non-standard base-pairing at the 3rd anti-codon position.
Source: Rfam by way of RNAcentral
ACCGCGAUAGCCCAGCCGGCAGAGCACCUGUUUGGUGAGUGGAGGGUCGCCGGUUUAAUUCCGGCUCGCGGAG